CUUGGUUUUGCUCUCACCUCUUCGCUGAUUGCAGCUCACAGUAAGUACUGGUUCACACAGUUCGUUCCUUGGGUGCUCACUCGCUUUCUCUUUCUCCACAGGCAGCGGCGUAAGUACAGGGUUCGCUCUAUUCCUCCUCGUGUUAUUCACUCUCUCUCCUUUUCUCUCCACAGGUAUCAGAUUGGACACAAAGCACAGUUAGUUUGCUUUGAAUAGCUCCCACCUCUGGGCUGAACACAGCGUACCGUGCUAUCUCCGGAGAUCUGAAGCACGCUCACAACAUAUACUGUACUGAAC
Molecule: long non-coding RNA, 297 nt
Organism: Carassius gibelio (silver crucian carp)
Lineage: Eukaryota; Metazoa; Chordata; Actinopteri; Cypriniformes; Cyprinidae
Exons: 3
Source: RefSeq, a predicted model, not a curated record